This 375-nucleotide ribosomal RNA is filed under the name Triticum aestivum (bread wheat). RNAcentral's name for it is "partial small subunit ribosomal RNA". The record is from RNAcentral. Lineage: Eukaryota; Viridiplantae; Streptophyta; Magnoliopsida; Poales; Poaceae.
AUGUCUUGUCAGUUUCGAGCUGGUGUUCCCACCAUCCUUCUUCAAUAUCAUGACGCGCGUCCUAGUUCAUCUAGUCGACAAGAUUGUCAUUCUGGGCCCGUAUUUCUACACAAUAUGUUCCCCUUUGAGAGGUUCAUGGGAGUCCUAAAGAAAUAUGUCUGUAACCGCGCUAGGCCAGAAGGAAGCAUCUCCAUGGGCCAUCAAACAGAGGAUGUCAUUGGGUUUUGUGUUGACUUCAUUCCUAGCCUUAAGAAGAUAGGUCUCCCUAUAUCGCGGUAUGAGGGGAGACUGACUGGAAAAGGCACGUUGGCAGGGGCCUCAAUAAUAUGCAGGGAUGGAUAUUCUUGGUCUCAAGCACACUACACAGUUCUAUAG